Molecule: long non-coding RNA, 1874 nt
Organism: Trichogramma pretiosum
Lineage: Eukaryota; Metazoa; Arthropoda; Insecta; Hymenoptera; Trichogrammatidae
Exons: 3
Source: RefSeq, a predicted model, not a curated record
UAAACCUAUUAGAUAUACCUCGCAGGUCCCCACAUGUUUUUUUUCAAUAGGGCAGCAACAAGUCCUUCGGCGUCACUCGCAAAGAGCCAUCCUGGAUCGAGGAAGUGAAUCUUACCACCGAGCUGAUCUAUCAAUUUCAGCUCAACUCUCGCUCCCUCGACAGCGUACUUCAGCGCGACCUCGAGUUCCUCAAAUCCACUAAGCAGCCGAGCCUCGUCAACGACCAGCUCGGCCAGCUGUUUCUCGAUCUCGACAUCGAGGGUUUCGGCUCCAAGCCCAUCCUCGAGGAGAUCGGCACCAAUAAUACACAGGACACGGGCAGCGAUCUGUCACAAUGUCCAAGUCAAAUGGGCGCCUGGUGGUAGUCUUGGGAUCACCGGUACGACCUUGCGUACAAUAACGAAGCACUACACGAAUUUGCCAUGUCCGUGGGCGCAUACAAAGUUUAAUGUGAUGUAAAACAAUAAGAAUUUUCGACAACAAAACAAAAACGCUAAUUUGCCAAUCAACCUUUCAAACGACUGGGAAUAUACCGUAAACAAGCGCUUAUCCUUAACGAAUGAGGGCUUUAACAUUUAAUUUAGCAGAUUAAGGAAUCUUCAGAAUAAUAUAGUGCAGGUGGGCGCAAAGACGCUUAUGUUAACUUUUAAGAUACUUCCAAAGCUGGAAAAUAAGCAUCUAUUCGAGAAAUACUUCUCUUUCGGGAUACUGCCAUAUCAUCAGUGGAAAAUUGAUAUAUACCAAAUGAUGAUUUAACUUUUUUUUGUUACGUUCGAAUUUUAAUCUCAACUCAGUUUACUUCAUUGAUUUACGUAUUAAUAGAGUCUUAUUGCAAUUUUUAAAUUAGAAUUAUGAAUAAGUUAGGGCAUUUUAAGUGAUGGUGUUGAUUACUUUUAUGAUUUGAAUUUUUUUUCUUUGACUAAAAGAUGAUAUUGAUUUUAUUUACUUUGGAGGUGAUUCUGAUAAACGUGAGCUUGCAAGUGCGGUAACUGCUCAUUUAUUUCAUACAUAAAAUAUCUCUCGUUUUGAUGUAUAAAUAUUUUAAACAAUAAUUGAUAAUUGAUAUUAGUCCAAAAAAAGUUAUUGAUUUAAAAAAAAAAAAAAAAAAAUAAACAAAAAUUGUAUUUGUACGAGAGUAUUUGAACACUGAAUUUAUCCCACCGUAUGUCGUCCCAGUGUAUCAAGAGAGGCUUCGGUUGUGAUUUUAAAUGAGUAAAACAUGAGCAUUCUUGAACGAUUAAAGUUACUUUUUGAAUGUAAAAUUAUUCAUGAAAGUUUUUUAACGCCAUACACACGUCAUUAGUCAAUUUUUUUUUAUAGGUGUAUUCUUUUCUUCUAUUUUUUCUUACUUAUAUUUUUGAGAAGUUAAUUUUUGAUGAAUAUUUCUUUUUUAUACUCCCAUACAAAAAUAAGUUUUGUGAAACUCAACAUAUUCAUAAUAUAAAUAAAAAAAGAUCGUUGCUUACCACGCUUAACAUGAAUAAGUAUUUCAGAAGUAUUUUCAAUAUAAUUCAUAUGCUUAUGACUGUAAAGCGAAUACGAACACGAAAUGAGGAUGGAUCGAAUACAGGUUAAUAUCUUAAAAAAUAAGUGAAUUCACAGACCAAUAAAAAAAGUACACAUUACCUUCUGCACUUUAUAAGCAUUUUAUAUUUAUAAAAAAAUAAUCGUGACUUAUUUACAUCGUGCAUAUAGUAUUUAAAUAUGUAAGCUACUUGACUUUAAAACCAUUACAGUGUCUUUUUCAACGUCAAGUUGUUACUCAUAAAGCUAAUAAUAUUUUUGUAUAAAAAAUUAUUUAUGUUAAUUAAGCUUAGCAAAACAUUGUUGUUUGAAUUAAGUAAAUAAUAAUAAAGUAUGUAAUAAAAGAAUAA